GUAUAUAUAGCUCAGUGGUAGAGCAUAUGCUUAGCAUGCAUGAGGUCCUGGGCUCAAUCCCCAGUACUUCCU
This 72-nucleotide transfer RNA is filed under the name Camelus dromedarius (Arabian camel). It matches the Rfam family "tRNA". Rfam says of the family: Transfer RNA (tRNA) molecules are approximately 80 nucleotides in length. Their secondary structure includes four short double-helical elements and three loops (D, anti-codon, and T loops). The record is from Rfam by way of RNAcentral. RNAcentral also lists the same sequence under 1 other name. Lineage: Eukaryota; Metazoa; Chordata; Mammalia; Artiodactyla; Camelidae.